This 1024-nucleotide long non-coding RNA is filed under the name Astyanax mexicanus (Mexican tetra). RNAcentral's name for it is "lncRNA (ENSAMXG00005016256.1)". The record is from RNAcentral. Lineage: Eukaryota; Metazoa; Chordata; Actinopteri; Characiformes; Acestrorhamphidae.
CGUGUGUGUGAGCUCUACAGUGAGACGCAGCUGGAGUGUGACGCACAUAGACGUGCCACACCGGGACCAGGACAGCGAACACAACCGCCACGGCGGAGACGCCGGCAGCAGCCGGGAUGGCGGCAGUGAUGUCAAUACAGGGGACGGGUCAGCGAAGGCUGUCUCUGUCACCACGGAAACCCCAGCCGUGCUCCACCUCCGGUCUGAACUGAGCAUUACGAUGUCAUCUGUAGUCCUGUCCUCCAAUGAGAAUGCUGGAUAGUGCUUUUUUCUGGAAUCUCUCACUUGUCCACUUCUCCAUGUGUCCAUCCAUCCACCCAUCCCUCCAUCCGUGCACUCAUCUGUGUGUCCAUUCAUCCACCUGUGGGUAUUGGAUUCUGCUUUCUCUCACAGGAGCCUCACAAGAACACAUAAGAGGAGGGGAACAAACAGCAAACUGAUUAUUAGAGAUUAUGCCCCGUGUCACUCAGUCUGAAGAGUGUUUGGACAAACUGUUAAAAUUUCUGGAUGUCAGAACGCUGUGCGAGAAUGGAGGUGUGAUAUUCAUUAAAGGUAAAUGCUUUUUAUCAUGUUUUACUACAACAAACAAGAAAAUGUGAAUUUAGUUAUCAUGACGGACAGUUCUGGUGGAAACAAGACAGUUGAGGUGCACAUUGAAUUCUGCCGUGAUUUGAUCAGCCGUGGUUUUAUGUUUUUUUAAUACAAUCUGGGUUAGCACCCGAACAUCCCUUUCAGACAGCUUCCUCUUACAGCGUCCACAGUUAAUCCUGUUGGAUGUGGUUGGUCCUUCUUGGUGGUAUGCUGACAUAACCCUGGAUACCGUGGCUCUUGAUACAUCACAAAGACUUGCUGUCUUGGUCACAGAUGCGCCAGCAAGACGUGCACCAACAAUUUGUCCUCUUUUGAACUCUGGUGUGUCACCUAUAAUGUUGUGUGCAUUACAAUAUUUAGAGCAGAACUGUGCUCUAACCCUGCUAAUUGAACCAACCUUCACACUCUGCUCUUACUGGUGCAAUAAUGUGCA